ACCUAGCGGCGGACGGGUGAGUAAUGCUUAGGAAUCUGCCUAUUAGUGGGGGACAACAUUCCGAAAGGAAUGCUAAUACCGCAUACGCCCUACGGGGGAAAGCAGGGGAUCUUCGGACCUUGCGCUAAUAGAUGAGCCUAAGUCAGAUUAGCUAGUUGGUGGGGUAAAGGCCUACCAAGGCGACGAUCUGUAGCGGGUCUGAGAGGAUGAUCCGCCACACUGGGACUGAGACACGGCCCAGACUCCUACGGGAGGCAGCAGUGGGGAAUAUUGGACAAUGGGCGNAAGCCUGAUCCAGCCAUGCCGCGUGUGUGAAGAAGGCCUUUUGGUUGUAAAGCACUUUAAGCGAGGAGGAGGCUACUUGGAUUAAUACUCUAGGAUAGUGGACGUUACUCGCAGAAUAAGCACCGGCUAACUCUGUGCCAGCAGCCGCGGUAAUACAGAGGGUGCGAGCGUUAAUCGGAUUUACUGGGCGUAAAGCGUGCGUAGGCGGCUUUUUAAGUCGGAUGUGAAAUCCCUGAGCUUAACUUAGGAAUUGCAUUCGAUACUGGGAAGCUAGAGUAUGGGAGAGGAUGGUAGAAUUCCAGGUGUAGCGGUGAAAUGCGUAGAGAUCUGGAGGAAUACCGAUGGCGAAGGCAGCCAUCUGGCCUAAUACUGACGCUGAGGUACGAAAGCAUGGGGAGCAAACAGGAUUAGAUACCCUGGUAGUCCAUGCCG
Molecule: ribosomal RNA, 717 nt
Filed under: bacterium 40_xplvp46
Lineage: Bacteria
Description: bacterial SSU rRNA
Rfam family: Bacterial small subunit ribosomal RNA
Source: RNAcentral